RNAcentral lists this transfer-messenger RNA (373 nucleotides) under Granulosicoccaceae. Its description in RNAcentral is "Granulosicoccus sp002746645 Standard tmRNA". It matches the Rfam family "transfer-messenger RNA". From Rfam's summary of the family: Bacterial tmRNA, also known as 10Sa RNA or SsrA, is named for its dual tRNA and mRNA-like properties. Its role is to liberate the mRNA from a stalled ribosome. To accomplish this part of the tmRNA is used as a reading frame that ends in a translation stop signal. The record is from RNAcentral. RNAcentral also lists the same sequence under 1 other name. Lineage: Bacteria; Pseudomonadati; Pseudomonadota; Gammaproteobacteria; Chromatiales.
GGGGAAGACAUGGUUUCGACGGGAGUGGCGAACCCUGAGGUGCAUGCCGAGGUUCAGAUCACCUCGUUAAACCAUCUGAAAAACAAUAGUUGCCAACGACGACAACUACGCACUGGCUGCCUGAUUAGUCCAAUACGACUUUUCUGUCAGUUCUACCCUGUCAGUGGUAUGCCUGUGGGCUGCUGCGGGGGCACAUGACACAGGAUCGCGUGAAGGGCCGCCCUUGCACCUGAUCGUUAAACCAACAAUGGGCUCGCUGGCGGUUACCCUGUUCGUCGGGUAGCAACCGGCCAAAGCCAAAGACGAAACUAAGCAUGUAGUACCAAAGGCGGAGUGCUUUCGGACGGGGGUUCGACUCCCCCCUUCUCCACCA